GUGCCUUCUUUAAGCCAGCUCACCUGCCUACCUCACCGGCAAUUCUCAUCACCGAUGACCCGAGGCGGAGGAGGAGAAGUUUGACAAUGGUGACACCUGCAGGGUUAAGCUCCAACAGCUACGUGUUGGCAUUCCUGCUCCAUCUCUCUCUCUCUUUUCUGCCACUAUCUUUUCUUCUAUUAGAAUUGCUGAUAUGCUUGACCAAGACUUUCUUGAAGAGCUUGAAAUUAAUCAAGGAAUCAGAAGAAGUGGAUGAUGACAAGGAAGAAGACGAUGAGGAUGACUACGAGAAAGAUGAUACUGUUGACAUUUCUUUAGAGAAGGAAUUGCAGACGGUGCUUCCAUGUACAAGAACUUGCAACCGGCCUAAGCGAAAGCCUAGGCUUCAUCAUCCAUGCUUUGCAUGAUUUCAGUCUGGAGUUUGGAUGUGUCACUAGGCAUAGCUAUAGAGAAAGCAAAUUUUAGCUUCUUUCAGUUUAUUGUCCAUGACCAGCUUGUUAAUCCAAAUCCAAUAGUAUAGCCAUAGUAACUUUGUAUCUCCAAUUUUGGUUUAAAUUGUUUUCUUAUUAGUCUUUGCAUGGUGAACAUCGUCAUUAGGUAAUGCCGAUGAAAGAAUAUUGUAAUAGCAUUGAUCUUGGAGAAAUAAAUGGUUUUCCUCUUCUCCGCAA
Populus nigra (black poplar) is the source of this 668-nucleotide long non-coding RNA. RefSeq lists it as uncharacterized. Lineage: Eukaryota; Viridiplantae; Streptophyta; Magnoliopsida; Malpighiales; Salicaceae. The transcript is spliced from 2 exons. The record is from RefSeq and is a predicted model, not a curated record.